UCGGGAAUUUUGGGCAAUGGGCGCAAGCCUGAUCCAGCCAUGCCGCGUGGAUGAUGAAGGCCUUAGGGUUGUAAAAUCCUUUCGUGGGGGACGAUAAUGACGGUACCCCAAGAAGAAGCUCCGGCUAACUUCGUGCCAGCAGCCGCGGUAAUACGAAGGGGGCUAGCGUUGUUCGGAUUUACUGGGCGUAAAGCGCGUGUAGGCGGGUCGUUAAGUUGGGGGUGAAAUCCCGAGGCUCAACCUCGGAACUGCCUUCAAAACUGGCGACCUGGACUCAAGCAGAGGCAAGUGGAAUUGCGAGUGUAGAGGUGAAAUUCGUAGAUAUUCGCAGGAACACCAGUGGCGAAGGCGACUUGCUGGGCUUGUAGUGACGCUGAGACGCGAAAGCGUGGGGAGCAAACAGGAUUAGAUACCCGCGUAGUCCCUGAGCGGGCUGGCAAGGCGCAU
RNAcentral lists this ribosomal RNA (447 nucleotides) under uncultured bacterium. RNAcentral's name for it is "bacterial SSU rRNA". It matches the Rfam family "Bacterial small subunit ribosomal RNA", at positions 355 to 825 of the family's 1533-position model. The record is from RNAcentral.